This 696-nucleotide ribosomal RNA is filed under the name uncultured bacterium. Its description in RNAcentral is "bacterial SSU rRNA". It matches the Rfam family "Bacterial small subunit ribosomal RNA", at positions 654 to 1345 of the family's 1533-position model. The record is from RNAcentral.
GGGGAGAAUGGAAUUCCUGGUGGAGCGGUGGGAUGCGCAGAUAUCAGGAGGAACACCAGUGGCGAAGGCGGUUCUCUGGACCUUUCCUGACGCUGAGGAGCGAAAGCGUGGGGAGCGAACAGGCUUAGAUACCCUGGUAGUCCACGCUGUAAACGGUGGGUACUAGGUGUGGGGUCCAUUCCACGGAUUCCGUGCCGUAGGCUAACGCUUUAAGUACCCCGCCUGGGGAGUACGGCCGCAAGGCUAAAACUCAAAGGAAUUGACGGGGCCCCGCACAAGCGGCGGAGCAUGCGGAUUAAUUCGAUGCAACGCGAAGAACCUUACCUGGGUUUGACAUGGAUCAGGAGUGCUCAGAGAUGGGUAUGCCUCUUUUGGGGUUGGUUCACAGGUGGUGCAUGGCUGUCGUCAGCUCGUGUCGUGAGAUGUUGGGUUAAGUCCCGCAACGAGCGCAACCCUCGUUCACUGUUGCCAGCACGUUAUGGUGGGGACUCAGUGGAGACCGCCGGGGUCAACUCGGAGGAAGGUGGGGAUGACGUCAAGUCAUCAUGCCCCUUAUGUCCAGGGCUUCACGCAUGCUACAAUGGCCGGUACAAAGAGUUGCGAGCCUGUGAGGGUGAGCGAAUCUCGGAAAGCCGGUCUCAGUUCGGAUUGGGGUCUGCAACUCGACCUCAUGAAGUCGGAGUCGCUAGUAAUCGC